RNAcentral lists this ribosomal RNA (360 nucleotides) under uncultured eukaryote. Its description in RNAcentral is "SSU rRNA". It matches the Rfam family "Eukaryotic small subunit ribosomal RNA", at positions 587 to 972 of the family's 1831-position model. The record is from RNAcentral.
AGCUCCAAUAGCGUAUAUUAAAGUUGUUGCAGUUAAAAAGCUCGUAGUUGGACUUUAGGCGAGCUGCGCCGGCUCCGUAACAGGUUCUGGCGCGGCGAGCCUCACCUUUGGGAAACCAGUGCUCUGCGCUGGGGAACCAAGCCUUACUUUGAGAAAAUUAGAGUGUUUAAAGCAGGCUUACGCUUGAAUACUUCAGCAUGGAAUAACAAGAUAGGACUUUGGUUCUAUAUUGUUGGUUUGAGAACCAAAGUAAUGAUUAAUAGGGACAGUUGGGGGCAUUAGUAUUUAGUAGUCAGAGGUGAAAUUCUUGGAUUUACUAAAGACUAACUAAUGCGAAAGCAUUUGCCAAGGAUGUUUUCA